GAUGAACGCUGGCGGCGUGCCUAAUACAUGCAAGUCGAGCGAACGGACGAGAAGCUUGCUUCUCUGAUGUUAGCGGCGGACGGGUGAGUAACACGUGGAUAACCUACCUAUAAGACUGGGAUAACUUCGGGAAACCGUAGCUAAUACCGGAUAAUAUUUUGAACCGCAUGGUUCAAAAGUGAAAGACGGUCUUGCUGUCACUUAUAGAUGGAUCCGCGCUGCAUUAGCUAGUUGGUAAGGUAACGGCUUACCAAGGCAACGAUGCAUAGCCGACCUGAGAGGGGGGACGGCCAACCGGGAACUGGACCCGGGUCCAGCAUCCUGCGGGGGGCAGCGGGAGGGAAUCUUCCGAAAUGGGCGAAAGCCUGACGGGGAAACGCCGCGUGAGUGAUGAAGGUCUUUGGAUCGUAAAACCCUUUUAUUAGGGAAAAACAUAUGUGUAAGUAACUGUGCACAUCUUGGCGGUACCUAAUCAGAAAGCCCCGGCUAACUACGU
Molecule: ribosomal RNA, 496 nt
Filed under: uncultured bacterium
Lineage: Bacteria
Description: partial 16S ribosomal RNA
Rfam family: Bacterial small subunit ribosomal RNA
Source: RNAcentral